Molecule: small nucleolar RNA, 141 nt
Organism: Apodemus sylvaticus (European woodmouse)
Lineage: Eukaryota; Metazoa; Chordata; Mammalia; Rodentia; Muridae
Product: small nucleolar RNA SNORA48
Exons: 1
Source: RefSeq, a predicted model, not a curated record
UCCCCCAGCAAUGGGCAAAGAGACACCUCGUUGGUGGUGUGGCUCUUAUAUCAGAUAUCAGAGCGAAAGGCAGUCCUUUGUUCAUCCUAGCUUGAUACCCAGCUUGGUGACCAAAAGCUGUCUUAUGCCUAGGACUCAUAA